RNAcentral lists this transfer RNA (73 nucleotides) under Schistosoma japonicum. Its description in RNAcentral is "tRNA-OTHER". Lineage: Eukaryota; Metazoa; Platyhelminthes; Trematoda; Strigeidida; Schistosomatidae. The record is from RNAcentral.
AGCUCAGUGGUCCAAUGGUAAAGCGCUUGUUGUGGAGCCAAGAGAGUCCUUGGUUCGAUCCCCAACGGAGUCU